GGGGAUGUGGCUCAGUGUUAGGGCAUUUGUCUAGUAAGUACAAGGUUCUGAGUUUGCCUCUUAGCACCCCA
Molecule: transfer RNA, 71 nt
Filed under: Neotoma lepida (desert woodrat)
Lineage: Eukaryota; Metazoa; Chordata; Mammalia; Rodentia; Cricetidae
Rfam family: tRNA
About the family: Transfer RNA (tRNA) molecules are approximately 80 nucleotides in length. Their secondary structure includes four short double-helical elements and three loops (D, anti-codon, and T loops). Further hydrogen bonds mediate the characteristic L-shaped molecular structure. tRNAs have two regions of fundamental functional importance: the anti-codon, which is responsible for specific mRNA codon recognition, and the 3' end, to which the tRNAs corresponding amino acid is attached (by aminoacyl-tRNA synthetases). tRNAs cope with the degeneracy of the genetic code in two manners: having more than one tRNA (with a specific anti-codon) for a particular amino acid; and 'wobble' base-pairing, i.e. permitting non-standard base-pairing at the 3rd anti-codon position.
Source: Rfam by way of RNAcentral